This 495-nucleotide ribosomal RNA is filed under the name uncultured bacterium. RNAcentral's name for it is "partial 16S ribosomal RNA". It matches the Rfam family "Bacterial small subunit ribosomal RNA", at positions 899 to 1397 of the family's 1533-position model. The record is from RNAcentral.
ACUCAAAGGAAUUGACGGGGGCCCGCACAAGCGGUGGAGCAUGUGGUUUAAUUCGACGCAACGCGAAGAACCUUACCUGGGCUCGAACGGCUUUGGACGGCUCUUGGAAACAGGGGUUUUCCCGCAAGGGACUGAAGUCGAGGUGCUGCAUGGCUGUCGUCAGCUCGUGUCGUGAGAUGUUGGGUUAAGUCCCGCAACGAGCGCAACCCUUGUCCUGUGUUGCAACUAAUAGGCACUCUCAGGAGACCGCCAGCGAUAAGCUGGAGGAAGGUGGGGAUGACGUCAAGUCAUCAUGGCCUUUAUGUCCAGGGCUACACACGUGCUACAAUGGGCGGUACAGACCGCUGCAAACCCGCGAGGGGGAGCAAAUCGGAAAAAACCGUUCUCAGUUCGGAUUGCAGGCUGCAACUCGCCUGCAUGAAGCUGGAAUCGCUAGUAAUGGCAUAUCAGAACGAUGCCGUGAAUACGUUCCCGGGCCUUGUACACACCGCCCGU